AUGGCUUCCUGGCCUUUUAGCUAAGAUCACGGGUAGUCUCUGUUCUUAUCAAUAAUAAUAAUGUUUCCCGGCAGGUAGAGCUAUUUGUGCUUCUUGAACCCAGUAGGCUCCCUCAUGCCUUUGGUCUUCUGAACCUGCUUUUCCUUUGCUAGUUCUGCCCUCCCCAGCUCAGUGGCAUGGAAAACAUAU
Rhinolophus ferrumequinum (greater horseshoe bat) is the source of this 189-nucleotide small nuclear RNA. Its record names the gene U2. It matches the Rfam family "U2 spliceosomal RNA". Rfam says of the family: U2 is a small nuclear RNA (snRNA) component of the spliceosome (involved in pre-mRNA splicing). Complementary binding between U2 snRNA (in an area lying towards the 5' end but 3' to hairpin I) and the branchpoint sequence (BPS) of the intron results the bulging out of an unpaired adenosine, on the BPS, which initiates a nucleophilic attack at the intronic 5' splice site, thus starting the first of two transesterification reactions that mediate splicing. The record is from Ensembl. Lineage: Eukaryota; Metazoa; Chordata; Mammalia; Chiroptera; Rhinolophidae.